RNAcentral lists this ribosomal RNA (497 nucleotides) under uncultured bacterium. RNAcentral's name for it is "partial 16S ribosomal RNA". It matches the Rfam family "Bacterial small subunit ribosomal RNA", at positions 28 to 507 of the family's 1533-position model. The record is from RNAcentral.
GAUGAACGCUGGCGGCGUGCCUAAUACAUGCAAGUCGAGCGAAAGGACGAUAAGCUUGUGUCUUUGAUGUUAGCGGCGGACGGGUGUGUAACACGUGUAUAACCUACUUAUUUGUCUGGGAUAAUUACGGGAAACCGGAUCUUAUACCGGAGAAUAUUUUGAACCGCAUGGUGGAAAGGAGAAUGGCGGCCUUUGUGGCUCUUAUAGAUGGUUCCGCGCUGCAUUAGCUAGUUGGUAAGGUAACGGCGUACCAAGGCAACGAUGCAUAGCCGACCUGAGAGGGUGAUCGGCCACACUGGAACUGAGACACGGUCCAGACUCCUACGGGAGGCAGCAGUAGGGAAUCUUCCGCAAAGGGCGAAAGCCUGACGGAGCAACGCCGCGUGAGUGAUGAAGGCCUUCGGAUCGUAAAACUCUGUUAUUAGGGAAGAACAUAUGUGUAAGUAACUGUGCACAUCUUGACGGUACCUAAUCAAAAAGCCACGGCUAACUACGUG